This 497-nucleotide ribosomal RNA is filed under the name uncultured bacterium. RNAcentral's name for it is "partial 16S ribosomal RNA". It matches the Rfam family "Bacterial small subunit ribosomal RNA", at positions 28 to 507 of the family's 1533-position model. The record is from RNAcentral.
GAUGAACGCUGGCGGCGUGCCUAAUACAUGCAAGUCGAGCGAACAGACGAGGAGCUUGCUCCUCUGACGUUAGCGGCGGACGGGUGAGUAACACGUGGAUAACCUACCUAUAAGACUGGGAUAACUUCGGGAAACCGGCGCUAAUAUCGGAUAAUAUAUUGAACCGCAUGGGUCAAUAGUGAAAGACGGUUUUGCUGUCACUUAUAGAUGGAUCCGCGCCGCAUUAGUUAGUUGGUAAGGUAACGGCUUACCAAGGCGACGAUGCGUAGCCGACGUGAGAGGGUGAUCGGCCACACGGGAACUGAGACACGGUCCAGACUCCUACGAGAGGCAGCAGUAGGGAAUCUUCCGCAAUGGGCGAAAGCCUGACGGAGCAACGCCGCGUGAGUGAUGAAGGUCUUCGGAUCGUAAAACUCUGUUAUUAGGGAAGAACAAAUGUGUAAGUAACUAUGCACGUCUUGACGGUACCUAAUCAGAAAGCAACGGCUAACUACGUG